UUGAACGCUGGCGGAAUGCUUUACACAUGCAAGUCGAACGGCAGCACGGGGGCAACCCUGGUGGCGAGUGGCGAACGGGUGAGUAAUACCUAGGAACAUGUCCAGUAGUGGGGGAUAACGCAGCGAAAGCUGUGCUAAUACCGCAUACGCCCUAUGGGGGAAAGCGGGGGAUCGCAAGACCUCGCGCGAUUGGAGCGGCCGAUAUCGGAUUAGCUAGUUGGUGAGGUAAAGGCUCACCAAGGCGACGAUCCGUAGCGGGUCUGAGAGGACGACCCGCCACACUGGAACUGAGACACGGUCCAGACUCCUACGGGAGGCAGCAGUGGGGAAUUUUGGACAAUGGGGGAAACCCUGAUCCAGCCAUUCCGCGUGAGUAAAGAAGGCCUUCGGGUUGUAAAGCUCUUUCAGCAGGAACGAAACGGUCGGCUUUAAUACGGUCGGCUAAUGACGGUACCUGCAGAAGAAGCACCGGCUAACUACGU
This 482-nucleotide ribosomal RNA is filed under the name uncultured bacterium. Its description in RNAcentral is "bacterial SSU rRNA". It matches the Rfam family "Bacterial small subunit ribosomal RNA", at positions 30 to 506 of the family's 1533-position model. The record is from RNAcentral.